GAUGAAGAACGUAGCGAAAUGCGAUAAGUAAUGUGAAUUGCAGAAUUCAGUGAAUCAUCGAAUCUUUGAACGCACAUUGCGCCCGCCAGUAUUCUGGCGGGCAUGCCUGUUGGAGCGUCAUUACAACCCUCAGGCCCCCGGGCCUGGCGUUGGGGAUCGGCGGAGCCCCCCGUGGGCACACGCCGUCCCCCAAAUACAGUGGCGGUCCCGCCGCAGCUUCCAUCGCGUAGUAGCUAACACCUCGCGACUGGAGAGCGGCGCGGCCACGCCGUAAAACACCCAACUCUUCUGAAGUUGACCUCGAAUCAGGUAGGAAUACCCGCUGAACUUAAGCAUAUCAAUAAGCGGAGGA
This 352-nucleotide unclassified non-coding RNA is filed under the name soil metagenome. Its description in RNAcentral is "partial contains 5.8S ribosomal RNA, internal transcribed spacer 2, and large subunit ribosomal RNA". The stretch from base 1 to 120 matches the Rfam family "5.8S ribosomal RNA", at positions 35 to 154 of the family's 154-position model. The record is from RNAcentral.